This 77-nucleotide transfer RNA is filed under the name Bacteriovoracales bacterium. RNAcentral's name for it is "tRNA-Met". It matches the Rfam family "tRNA". From Rfam's summary of the family: Transfer RNA (tRNA) molecules are approximately 80 nucleotides in length. The record is from RNAcentral. Lineage: Bacteria; Pseudomonadati; Bdellovibrionota; Bacteriovoracia; Bacteriovoracales.
GGCGGAGUAGCUCAGUUGGUGAGAGCGUCGGAUUCAUAACCCGAAGGUCGGCGGUUCAAAUCCGCCCUUCGCUACCA